AUCGCCCGUCGGAAUGUCAUUCCCCUCUCUACUAGUUUCUCUUGAUUCUGUGUCAGUGUUUUUAUGUCGUGUAUGGAAUAAUUCACCGGGUUUUAUCAUACAAAUCAGCCGAAGCCAUCGGUAUGAUACGCAGAAACUGCUGGGCAGAUGGAAUUCUUUUGACCAUGACACUAACAUUCGAUUCCAGUUCCUCCUGUUUGACCAUCAAUUUCCCUGUUGAUAGACAAGUCCUGUUUGGUGAGGUGGAGGACAGCUGCAAAUUCCAGAACUGCCUAGUCAGUUUGAUGACCGGGAGAAAUCUUUUGGGCCAAAUUUCAAUGCUCAAAGUUCAUCCCAUGUCACUCCUGCAUCAUCCUGUUCUACUUUUCUACCUGGUAAGUAAUGACAAUAUUCUAGAACUACUCUUCCUAAAUAGGAGGAAAUGAGUACAAUUUGCAGAGCUUAAACAGUUA
Macrobrachium nipponense is the source of this 452-nucleotide long non-coding RNA. RefSeq lists it as uncharacterized. The record is from RefSeq and is a predicted model, not a curated record. Lineage: Eukaryota; Metazoa; Arthropoda; Malacostraca; Decapoda; Palaemonidae. The transcript is spliced from 3 exons.